CAACAAAAUGGAUAGCACGGCAAUCGGCCAGAUGAGGUAGCUCAGCCACUGGAGCCACGUCGGAAUGUGGUUCAUGACCUGCGGGAUCCAAUCGCCAAGGCGGGUGAAGAGCCACCAAAACGCGCCGCCCAUCAGCAGAAUAUUCACUAAUAAAGGCAGAAUGACGAAGCGGCGGAUACCGGGCAGCGAAAUCAAGCGCCACCCUUCAACAAAAUAGUGGAUACCGCUGCGUGGUUUAUCAACCGGUUUUAAAUAAGGCAUAGCGUCAUUGCUCUCUGUUUGUCUAUGUAUGGCUGCAUCAUAAUGGGAUGAUUUUAUACUGACCAGACGGCACUUGGAUGAAAAAACAGCAAAAAAAUGCGUUGUAUCUAUCUUUAUUGUCAUAAUGUACCGUGCAGACUUGCACUUGUGUACGCAGGCAAAUAGAGU
Molecule: regulatory RNA element, 429 nt
Organism: Brenneria goodwinii
Lineage: Bacteria; Pseudomonadati; Pseudomonadota; Gammaproteobacteria; Enterobacterales; Pectobacteriaceae
Rfam family: Soft rot Enterobacteriaceae Rev 42 5'UTR
About the family: From bacteria cultured under starvation conditions.
Source: Rfam